GCCUGGGUGGCUCAGUGGGUUGAGCAUCUGACUUCAGCUCAGGUCAUGAUCUCAUGGUUUGUGGGUUUGAGCGCCACAUCAGGCU
Molecule: transfer RNA, 85 nt
Filed under: Felis catus (domestic cat)
Lineage: Eukaryota; Metazoa; Chordata; Mammalia; Carnivora; Felidae
Rfam family: tRNA
About the family: Transfer RNA (tRNA) molecules are approximately 80 nucleotides in length. Their secondary structure includes four short double-helical elements and three loops (D, anti-codon, and T loops).
Source: Rfam by way of RNAcentral